CUGCAGUCAAGAAUAUCCCGCAAUGGCCGCAAGGCUGACGGAGCGACGCCGCGUGCAGGAAGACGCCCUUCGGGGUGUAAACUGCUUUUUUCUGGGACGAAAUUUUGACGGUACCAGAAGAAUAAGCCACUGCUAACCUCGUGCCAGCAGCAGCGGUAAUACGAGGGUGGCAAACGUUAUCCGGAUUUAUUGGGUGUAAAGCGUCUUCAGGCGGUUUGUUAAGUUUUCGGUUAAAUCUAAAGGCCUAACCUUUAGCCCGCCGAAAAAACUGGCAAACUAGAGACCGGGAGAGGUCAGUGGAAUAGCCGGUGUAGUAGUAAAAUGCGUUAAUAUCGGCUAGAACACCAAUAGCGAAGGCAACUGACUAGAACGGUUCUGACGCUCAUAAGACGAAAGCGUGGGGAGUGAAUGGGAUUAGAUACCCCAGUAAUCCACGCUGUAAACGAUGGGUACUGAGUAUUGGAAGUAUCGACCCUUCCAGUAUUGUCAAUCUAAGCUAACGCCUUAAGUACCCCACCUGGGGAGUACGGUCGCAAGACUAAAACUCAAAGGAAUUGACGGGAGUCCGCACAAGCGGGGGAGCAUGUGGUUUAAUUCGACAAUAAGCGAGGAACCUUACCAGGGCUUGACAUGUUAGGAAUUCCGGCGAAAGUUGGAAGUGCCCGGCAACGGGAGCCUAAACACAGGUGCUGCAUGGUUGUCGUCAGCUCGUGUCGUGAGAUGUUGGGUUAAGUCCUUUAACGAGCGCAACCCCUACUCUGUGUUAAAUAUUCACAGAGAACUGCCUCGGACGAUGGGGAGGAAGGCGGGGUUGACGUCAAAUCAGCAUGGCUCUUACGCCCUGGGCCACACACGUGCUACAAUGGCGAGUACAGAGGGUCGCAAAAUCGCAAGAUGAAGCUAAUCCCAUCAAAACUCGUCCUAGUUCGGAUUGAGGUCUGAAAUUCGACCUCAUGAAGCUGGAAUCGCUAGUAACCGUGGAUCAGCCACGCCACGGUGAAUACGUUCUCGGACUUUGUACACACCGCCCGUCACGUCAAGAGAGUCGGUAGUACCCGAAAGCUGGAGUUUCUCCGGAAUAAGGUAAGACUGAUGAUAGGGACGAAGUCGUAACAAGGCAUCCGUAGCGGAAGCUGUGGAUG
Molecule: ribosomal RNA, 1142 nt
Filed under: groundwater metagenome
Description: bacterial SSU rRNA
Rfam family: Bacterial small subunit ribosomal RNA
Source: RNAcentral